AACCCUUGCCUUAGUUACCAGCACGUUAUGGUGGGCACUCUAAGGAGACUGCCGGUGCAAACCGGAGGAAGGUGGGGAUGACGUCAAGUCAUCAUGGCCCUUACGGCCUGGGCUACACACGUGCUACAAUGGUCGGUACAAAGGGUUGCCAAGCCGCAAGGUGGAGCUAAUCCCAUAAAACCGAUCGUAGUCCGGAUCGCAGUCUGCAACUCGACUGCGUGAAGUCGGAAUCGCUAGUAAUCGUGAAUCAGAAUGUCACGGUGAAUACGUUCCCGGGCCUU
Molecule: ribosomal RNA, 281 nt
Filed under: uncultured Pseudomonas sp.
Lineage: Bacteria; Pseudomonadati; Pseudomonadota; Gammaproteobacteria; Pseudomonadales; Pseudomonadaceae
Description: partial 16S ribosomal RNA
Rfam family: Bacterial small subunit ribosomal RNA
Source: RNAcentral